AGUUCGGAUUGCAGUCUGCAACUCGACUGCAUGAAGCCGGAAUCGCUAGUAAUCGCGGAUCAGAAUGCCGCGGUGAAUACGUUCCCGGGUCUUGUACACACCGCCCGUCACACCAUGGGAGUCGGAAAUGCCCGAAGCCGGUGGCCUAACCGAUAAGGGAGGAGCCGUCGAAGGCAGGUCUGAUGACUGGGGUGAAGUCGUAACAAGGUAGC
Molecule: ribosomal RNA, 212 nt
Filed under: uncultured bacterium
Lineage: Bacteria
Description: partial 16S ribosomal RNA
Rfam family: Bacterial small subunit ribosomal RNA
Source: RNAcentral